GACGAACGCUGGCGGCGUGCUUAACACAUGCAAGUCGAACGGAAAGGCCCUUCGGGGUCCUCGAGUGGCGAACGGGCGGGUAACACGUGGGUGAUCUGCCCUGCACUUUGGGAUAAGCCUGGGACACUGGGACUAAUACCCAAUUGGACCACGCUCUACAUGGUGUGUGGUGGAAAGCUUUUGCGGUGUGGGUUGGGGCCGCGGCCUAUCAGCUUGUUGGUGGGGUAAUGGCCUACCAAGGAGACGACGGGUAGCCGGCCUGAGAGGGAGACCGGCCACACUGGGACAGGGGAACGGCCCAGACGGCAUCGGGAGGCAGGAGCGGGGAAUAUUGCAAAAUGGGCGGAAGCAUGAUGGAGCGACGCCGGGUGGGGGAUGACGGCCUUCGGGUAGGAAACAUUUUGCACCAGAGACGAAGCGUAAGUGACGGUACCGGGAGAAGAAGCACCGGCCAACUACGG
RNAcentral lists this ribosomal RNA (461 nucleotides) under uncultured bacterium. RNAcentral's name for it is "partial 16S ribosomal RNA". It matches the Rfam family "Bacterial small subunit ribosomal RNA", at positions 28 to 506 of the family's 1533-position model. The record is from RNAcentral.